This 838-nucleotide ribosomal RNA is filed under the name uncultured bacterium. Its description in RNAcentral is "bacterial SSU rRNA". It matches the Rfam family "Bacterial small subunit ribosomal RNA", at positions 524 to 1381 of the family's 1533-position model. The record is from RNAcentral.
UACGAGGGAUGCAAGCGUUAUCCGGAAUUAUUGGGCGUAAAGCGUUUGUAGGCGGGCGAGUGUGUUUAAUGUUAAAUCUUAAAGCUCAACUUUGAAAUUGCGUUAAAAACUGCUUGUCUUGAGUAUGGUAGGGGUAAAGGGAAUUCCCAGUGUAGCGGUGAAAUGCGUAGAUAUUGGGAAGAACGCUAAACAGCGAAGGCACUUUACUAGGCUAAUACUGACGCUGAGAAACGAAAGGUAAGGUAGCGAAACGGAUUAGAUACCCGUGUAGUCUUACCCGUAAACUAUGGACACUAAACGGUAAAUUUUUAAUUUACUGUUAAAGCUAACGCGUUAAGUGUCCCGCCUGGGGAGUAUGCUUGCAAAAGUGAAACUCAAAGGAAUUGACGGGGGCCCGCACAAGCGGUGGAGCAUGUGGUUUAAUUCGACGGUACACGAAGAACCUUACCAGGAUUUGACAUGCUAGAUAGUUGCUUGAAAGAGUAACGUGCCGUAAGGAAUCUAGACACAGGUGGUGCAUGGCUGUCGUCAGUUCGUGUUGUGAAAUGUUGGGUUAAGUCCCGCAACGAACGCAACCCUUGUCUUUAGUUAUUUUCUAAAGAGACUGCCUGUAAUAAACAGGAGGAAGGUAAGGAUGAGGUCAAGUCAUCAUGCCCCUUAUGUCCUGGGCUACACACGUGCUACAAUGGGAAAGACAAUGAGCUGCAAAUCUGUAAAUUUAAGCAAAUCUCUUAAACUUUCUCGUAGUUCGGAUUGUGGGCUGCAACUCGCCCACAUGAAGUUGGAAUCGCUAGUAAUCGCCAGUCAGCUAUAUGGCGGUGAAUCCGUUCCCGGGCCU